This 582-nucleotide ribosomal RNA is filed under the name uncultured Thermoprotei archaeon. RNAcentral describes it as "bacterial SSU rRNA". It matches the Rfam family "Archaeal small subunit ribosomal RNA", at positions 1 to 559 of the family's 1478-position model. The record is from RNAcentral. Lineage: Archaea; Thermoproteati; Thermoproteota; Thermoprotei.
UCCGGUUGAUCCUGCCGGACCCUACUGCUAUCGGGAUGGGACUAAGACAUGCUAGUCGUGCGCUUCUAAGCCAUGGUGGAGGCGCGGCGCACAGCUCAGUAACACGUGGUUGACCUGCCCUUGGGACGGAAACACCCCCGGGAAACUGGGGCUAAUUUCCGAUGGGUGAAGACUCCUGGAAUGGAUCUUCGCCUAAAGGGCGCUUGGGCCAUGCUUCUAGGCGCUGCCCAAGGAUGGGACCGCGGCCGAUCAGGUUGUUGGUGAGGUAAUGGCUCACCAAGCCUUUAACCGGUUCGGGCCGUGGGAGCGGGAGCCCGGAGAUGGGCACUGAGACAAGGGCCCAGGUCCUACGGGGCGCAGCAGUCGCGAAAACUCCGCAAUACGCGAAGGCGUGACGGGGCUAUCCCGAGUGCCGUCCGCUGAGGAUGGCUUUUCCCCAGUGUAGAUAGCUGGGGGAAUAAGGAGAGGGCAAGUCUGGUGUCAGCCGCCGCGGUAAUACCAGCUCUCCGAGUGGUGGGGACGUUUAUUGGGCCUGAAGCAUCCGUAGCCAGCUGAGCAAGUCCCCAGUUAAAUCCAGCGAUU